Paramuricea clavata is the source of this 460-nucleotide non-coding RNA. NCBI's taxonomy places the organism in Eukaryota, Metazoa, Cnidaria, Anthozoa, Malacalcyonacea, Plexauridae. The record is from the annotation of a GenBank genome assembly.
ACGAGAACCCACCCCCCGGAAACCUGCCUACCACUCGUACGCAAGGAACUACUGCCUUCGAAGUUCUCGGUGUCGAUUUCGCGGGUCCGAUCCGGUAUCGGACAAAAGGAAAAACCUCAAAGAAAGCGUAUUUGGUUCUGUACGGAUGUAGUCUUACGAGGGCUGUUCAUUUGGAAGUACUACAAUCACUUGAACUGAACGAUUUCCUAUCCAGUCUCAAGCGAUUCAUUGCACGGCGCGGAAGACCAAGGCUGAUAUACUCGGAUAACGGUGCAACGUUUAAGGCAGCAGAGAAAUGGCUGAAGCGAGUUCAACGUGACGAACAGUUUAAUUCCUUCCUCACAGAUCGCACAAUCGAAUGGAAAUUUAACCUAAGUCGAGCCCCCCCUGGUGGGGAGGGCAAUACGAACGACUCAUUGGGUUGUUCAAACGUGCAUUCCACAAGUUGAUUGGUAAUGGU